GCAACUCGCCUACAUGAAGUCGGAAUCGCUAGCAAUCGCGGAUCAGCAUGCCGCGGUGAAUACGUUCCCGGGCCUUGUACACACCGCCCGUCACACCAUGAGAGUUUGUAACACCCAAAGCCGGUGGGGUAACCUUUUGGAGCCAGCCGUCUAAGGUGGGACAGAUGAUUGGGGUGAAGUCGUAACAAGGUAUC
Molecule: ribosomal RNA, 194 nt
Filed under: uncultured bacterium
Lineage: Bacteria
Description: partial 16S ribosomal RNA
Rfam family: Bacterial small subunit ribosomal RNA
Source: RNAcentral